GCUCAGCGCCCGACCUCCAACCCUUUGUUGUUAAAACUACCUUGUUGCUUUGGCGGGACCGCUCGGUCUCGAGCCGCUGGGGAUUCGUCCCAGGCGAGCGCCCGCCAGAGUUAAACCAAACUCUUGUUAUUUAACCGGUCGUCUGAGUUAAAAUUUUGAAUAAAUCAAAACUUUCAACAACGGAUCUCUUGGUUCUCGCAUCGAUGAAGAACGCAGCGAAAUGCGAUAAGUAAUGUGAAUUGCAGAAUUCAGUGAAUCAUCGAAUCUUUGAACGCACAUUGCGCCCCUUGGUAUUCCGAGGGGCAUGCCUGUUCGAGCGUCAUUACACCACUCAAGCUAUGCUUGGUAUUGGGUGCCGUCCUUAGUUGGGCGCGCCUUAAAGACCUCGGCGAGGCCUCACCGGCUUUAGGCGUAGUAGAAUUUAUUCGAACGUCUGUCAAAGGAGAGGACUUCUGCCGACUGAAACCUUUAUUUUUCUAGGUUGACCUCGGAUCAGGUAGGGAUACCCGCUGAACUUAAGCAUAUCAAUAAGCGGAGGA
This 539-nucleotide ribosomal RNA is filed under the name Aureobasidium pullulans. RNAcentral describes it as "eukaryotic LSU rRNA". The stretch from base 169 to 322 matches the Rfam family "5.8S ribosomal RNA". The record is from RNAcentral. Lineage: Eukaryota; Fungi; Ascomycota; Dothideomycetes; Dothideales; Saccotheciaceae.